This 90-nucleotide transfer RNA is filed under the name Glaciimonas sp. Its description in RNAcentral is "tRNA-Ser". It matches the Rfam family "tRNA". From Rfam's summary of the family: Transfer RNA (tRNA) molecules are approximately 80 nucleotides in length. Lineage: Bacteria; Pseudomonadati; Pseudomonadota; Betaproteobacteria; Burkholderiales; Oxalobacteraceae. The record is from RNAcentral.
GGAAGUGUGGCCGAGCGGUUUAAGGCACUAGUCUUGAAAACUAGCGAGGGUUUAAAGCCUCCGUGAGUUCGAAUCUCACCGCUUCCGCCA